RNAcentral lists this ribosomal RNA (301 nucleotides) under uncultured bacterium. RNAcentral describes it as "partial 16S ribosomal RNA". It matches the Rfam family "Bacterial small subunit ribosomal RNA", at positions 509 to 808 of the family's 1533-position model. The record is from RNAcentral.
CAGUCGCCGCGGGAACACGUAGGUGGCAAGCGUUGUCCGGAAUUAUUGGGCGUAAAGGGCUCGCAGGCGGUUUCUUAAGUCUGAUGUGAAAGCCCCCGGCUCAACCGGGGAGGGUCAUUGGAGACUGGGAAACUUGAGUGCAGAAGAGGAGAGUGGAAUUCCACGUGUAGCGGUGAAAUGCGUAGAGAUGUGGAGGAACACCAGUGGCGAAGGCGACUCUCUGGUCUGUAACUGACGCUGAGGAGCGAAAGCGUGGGGAGCGAACAGGAUUAGAUACCCCGGUAGUCCCUGUCUCUUAACA